Molecule: transfer RNA, 92 nt
Filed under: Nitrospirota bacterium
Lineage: Bacteria; Pseudomonadati; Nitrospirota
Description: Nitrospirae bacterium (marine sediment metagenome) tRNA-Ser
Rfam family: tRNA
About the family: Transfer RNA (tRNA) molecules are approximately 80 nucleotides in length. Their secondary structure includes four short double-helical elements and three loops (D, anti-codon, and T loops).
Source: RNAcentral
GGAGAGGUGGCCGAGUGGCUGAAGGCAGCCGCCUGCUAAGCGGUUAUAGGGGUUAAACUCUAUCGAGGGUUCGAAUCCCUCCUUCUCCGCCA